UAGUAAUGGGCGAAAGCCUGAACUAGCAACGCCGCGUGUGCGAAGAAGGCCUUCGGGUUGUAAAGCACUUUUUGAGAGGAUGAGGAAGGACGGUACUCUCAGAAUAAGUCUCGGCUAACUACGUGCCAGCAGCCGCGGUAACACGUAGGAGGCAAACGUUAUCCGGAUUUACUGGGCGUAAAGCGCGUGUAGGUGGUUUGGUAAGUAGGGCGUGAAAGCUCCUGGCUCAACUGGGAGAGGCCGUUCUAAACUGCCGAACUAGAGGAUGGUAGAGGGAGGUGGAAUUCCGGGUGUAGCGGUGGAAUGCGCAGAUAUCCGGAGGAACACCAGUGGCGAAAGCGGCCUCCUGGACCAUUCCUGACACUCAGACGCGAAAGCUAGGGUAGCAAACGG
Molecule: ribosomal RNA, 393 nt
Filed under: uncultured bacterium
Lineage: Bacteria
Description: bacterial SSU rRNA
Rfam family: Bacterial small subunit ribosomal RNA
Source: RNAcentral